UAAGACCAAAGAUAUCUUCGAUGAUUUUGAGCUUAAUUAGAUUGAAUGCUUAUGAGUGCGGGCAGGGACGAAGCUAGCAUUCGAUUACGAGGGGGGCCAAAAUACAUACAAAUUAAAAUUCUAGCAAACAAACAAGAUUUACCUAGUUAAAUUUUUGCUGAGAAAAUAUAUUGACUAAAUAAUUAGUGUAAAAAGGCAUUACCCUUUUUUUAUUUAUACUUAACUUCUAAUUAUUUUAUUUAUAUUAUUUCACUCAAAUAACUUUGAAAUUUACUAAAUCUAAUAGUAAUUCAGUGAAUGAUUUAAUUUCUUAAUUUUUACUAAAUAUAAUUGUGACGAUAAAUAACUAUUAGUUAACAAAGCUAUUAACUUUAAUAUAAUUUUUAAUUUAAUUAAAUAAAAAAAUUUAUCUAAAAUAAUUAGAAAUUAUGAAGGUACUAAAUAAAAAAUAAAAAUAAACUCAAAGUUGAGAGAGUAUUAUAUUAGCGCCAAAAUUUUUUUUAAAAAAAACAGGUUACUCAUCAUACUUUUAAAAUUAAAUAAUUUUUUUUAUUUUUUAUAUAUAAAGGACUAUUGUGUAAAUUAUAAAAAUGUUGGAGGGGCCAUGGCCCCCCUCAGCCCCUCAAUAGCUCCGUCCCUGAGUGCGGGAAUAAGAUAAACUAUUUAGCCUCCAUUUUGUUCGGGGUUAAGGGGUGGAAUAACCCCUUAAUCCCGAAGUUAUUUUCAAACACCCAAUUUGUGGGGUGGGGUUAGCUUAACCCCACCCCACCCCAGCCCACUACUCUAACCAAACAAAAUACUAUUUUACCCACUAUCCUUUUUAUCCCACCUACUCCAAUCAAACACUAUUUUUUUUAAUUCUGGAUUAACUCCAACCGCCAUCUAGACAUAAAAAAUAUUCUAAUCCCACCUUAAUUCUAAACUUAACCCUAUCCCUAAAAUAACUAGUUUUUUCUUAACCCUAAACCAAACGGUAGCUUAGAGUUGAACAUAACAGCGAUUUAAUACGACUAAUAGCAUAAUGAUUUGAUAUUCUAGGUAGGAUAAUGGCAUUUGGGAGACCUUCACGAAUUCUCUUAAUGCUAGAUUAUCCAUUCAAAACUUAUUAAAUAAAUUUCAAAACUCUUAUUAUCUUUAUUUUAUUAAACUUCAAGAUUCAUAAAAUAAAAAAUU
This 1173-nucleotide long non-coding RNA is filed under the name Ananas comosus (pineapple). RNAcentral describes it as "long non-coding RNA (ACOM_LNC029986)". The record is from RNAcentral. Lineage: Eukaryota; Viridiplantae; Streptophyta; Magnoliopsida; Poales; Bromeliaceae.